This 503-nucleotide ribosomal RNA is filed under the name uncultured bacterium. RNAcentral describes it as "bacterial SSU rRNA". It matches the Rfam family "Bacterial small subunit ribosomal RNA", at positions 8 to 506 of the family's 1533-position model. The record is from RNAcentral.
AGAGUUUGAUCAUGGCUCAGGACGAACGCUGGCGGCGUGCUUAACACAUGCAAGUCGAACGAGAAUCUGCGGAAAGAGGAUUCGUCCAAUUGAAGCAGAGGACAGUGGCGGACGGGUGAGUAACGCGUGAGGAACCUGCCUUUCAGAGGGGGACAACAGUUGGAAACGACUGCUAAUACCGCAUGACAUAUAGAUGUCGCAUGGCAUUUAUAUCAAAGAUUUAUCGCUGAAAGAUGGCCUCGCGUCUGAUUAGCUAGUUGGUGAGGUAACGGCCCACCAAGGCGACGAUCAGUAGCCGGACUGAGAGGUUGAACGGCCACAUUGGGACUGAGAUACGGCCCAGACUCCUACGGGAGGCAGCAGUGGGGAAUAUUGGGCAAUGGGCGCAAGCCUGACCCAGCAACGCCGCGUGAAGGAAGAAGGCUUUCGGGUUGUAAACUUCUUUUUGUCAGGGACGAGUAGAAGAACGGUACCUGACGAAUAAAGCCACGGCUAAACUACGU